This 1292-nucleotide ribosomal RNA is filed under the name Caldora penicillata NAB11-29. Its description in RNAcentral is "bacterial SSU rRNA". It matches the Rfam family "Bacterial small subunit ribosomal RNA", at positions 99 to 1425 of the family's 1533-position model. RNAcentral also lists the same sequence under 1 other name. Lineage: Bacteria; Bacillati; Cyanobacteriota; Cyanophyceae; Coleofasciculales; Coleofasciculaceae. The record is from RNAcentral.
CGGACGGGUGAGUAACGCGUGAGAAUCUGCCCUCUGGUCGGGGACAACCACGGGAAACGGUGGCUAAUACCGGAUAGGCCGCAAGGUAAAAGAUUUAUUGCCAGAAGAGGAGCUCGCGUCUGAUUAGCUAGUUGGUGGGGUAAAAGCCUACCAAGGCGGCGAUCAGUAGCUGGUCUGAGAGGAUGAGCAGCCACACUGGGACUGAGACACGACCCAGACUCCUACGGGAGGCAGCAGUGGGGAAUUUUCCGCAAUGGGCGAAAGCCUGACGGAGCAAUACCGCGUGAGGGAGGAAGGCUCUUGGGUCGUAAACCUCUUUUGUCAAGGAAGAAGUUCUGACGGUACUUGACGAAUAAGCAUCGGCUAACUCCGUGCCAGCAGCCGCGGUAAUACGGAGGAUGCAAGCGUUAUCCGGAAUUAUUGGGCGUAAAGCGUCCGCAGGUGGCGUAUCAAGUCUGCUGUUAAAGACCGGGGCUAAACUCCGGAAAGGCAGUGGAAACUGAAACGCUAGAGUGCAGGAGGGGUAGAGGGAAUUCCCGGUGUAGCGGUGAAAUGCGUAGAUAUCGGGAAGAACAUCGGUGGCGAAAGCGCUCUACUGGACUGCAACUGACACUCAGGGACGAAAGCUAGGGGAGCGAAUGGGAUUAGAUACCCCAGUAGUCCUAGCCGUAAACGAUGGAUACUAGGUGUGGCUUGUAUCGACCCGAGCCGUGCCGUAGCUAACGCGUUAAGUAUCCCGCCUGGGGAGUACGCGCGCAAGCGUGAAACUCAAAGGAAUUGACGGGGGCCCGCACAAGCGGUGGAGUAUGUGGUUUAAUUAGAUGCAACGCGAAGAACCUUCACAGGGCUUGACAUGUCGCGAAUCUUGGUGAAAGCUGAGAGUGCUUACGGGAGCGCGAACACAGGUGGUGCAUGGCUGUUGUCAGCUCGUGUCGUGAGAUGUUGGGUUAAGUCCCGCAACGAGCGCAACCCUCGUUUUUAGUUGCCAUCAUUAAGUUGGGCACUCUAGAGAGACUGCCGGUGACAAACCGGAGGAAGGUGGGGAUGACGUCAAGUCAGCAUGCCCCUUACGUUCUGGGCUACACACGUACUACAAUGGUGAGGACAAAGGGCAGCGAACCCGCGAGGGCAAGCCAAUCCCAUCAAACCUCGCCUCAGUUCAGAUUGCAGGCUGCAACUCGCCUGCAUGAAGGAGGAAUCGCUAGUAAUCGCCGGUCAGCAUACGGCGGUGAAUCCGUUCCCGGGCCUUGUACACACCGCCCGUCACCCCAUGGAAGCUGGCCACGCCCGAA